This 378-nucleotide ribosomal RNA is filed under the name uncultured bacterium. Its description in RNAcentral is "bacterial SSU rRNA". It matches the Rfam family "Bacterial small subunit ribosomal RNA", at positions 527 to 904 of the family's 1533-position model. The record is from RNAcentral.
GNAGGGGGCAAGCGUNAUCCGGAUCUACUGGGUGUAAAGGGAGCGUAGACGGCGAUGCAAGCCAGAUGNGAAAGCCCGGGGCUCAACCCCGGGACUGCAUUUGGAACNGCGUGGCNGGAGUGUCGGAGAGGCAGGCGGAAUNCCUAGUGUAGCGGUGAAAUGCGUAGAUAUUAGGAGGAACACCAGUGGCGAAGGCGGCCUGCUGGACGAUGACUGACGUUGAGGCUCGAAAGCGUGGGGAGCAAACAGGAUUAGAUACCCUGGUAGUCCACGCCGUAAACGAUGACUACUAGGUGUCGGGUGGCAAGGCCAUUCGGUGCCGCAGCAAACGCAAUAAGUAGUCCACCUGGGGAGUACGUUCGCAAGAAUGAAACUCAA